GAUGAACGCUAGCUACAGGCUUAACACAUGCAAGUCGAGGGGCAGCAUGGUCUUAGCUUGCUAAGGCCGAUGGCGACCGGCGCACGGGUGAGUAACACGUAUCCAACCUGCCGUCUACUCUUGGACAGCCUUCUGAAAGGAAGAUUAAUACAAGAUGGCAUCAUGAGUCCGCAUGUUCACAUGAUUAAAGGUAUUCCGGUAGACGAUGGGGAUGCGUUCCAUUAGAUAGUAGGCGGGGUAACGGCCCACCUAGUCUUCGAUGGAUAGGGGUUCUGAGUGGAAGGUCCCCCACAUUGGAACUGAGACACGGUCCAAACUACUACGGGAGGCAGCAGUGAGGAAUAUUGGUCAAUGGGCGCAGGCCUGAACCAGCCAAGUAGCGUGAAGGAUGACUGCCCUAUGGGUUGUAAACUUCUUUUAUAAAGGAAUAAAGUCGGGUAUGUAUACCCGUUUGCAUGUACUUUAUGAAUAAGGAUCGGCUAACUCCGUG
RNAcentral lists this ribosomal RNA (490 nucleotides) under uncultured bacterium. RNAcentral describes it as "partial 16S ribosomal RNA". It matches the Rfam family "Bacterial small subunit ribosomal RNA", at positions 28 to 507 of the family's 1533-position model. The record is from RNAcentral.